RNAcentral lists this ribosomal RNA (468 nucleotides) under uncultured bacterium. RNAcentral describes it as "partial 16S ribosomal RNA". It matches the Rfam family "Bacterial small subunit ribosomal RNA", at positions 28 to 507 of the family's 1533-position model. The record is from RNAcentral.
GACGAACGCUGGCGGCGUGCUUAACACAUGCAAGUCGAACGGAAAGGCCCUGCUUUUGUGGGGUGCUCGGGUGGCGAACGGGUGAGUAACACGUGAGUAACCUGCCCUUGACUUUGGGAUAACUUCAGGAAACUAGGGCUAAUACCGGAUAGGAGCUCCUGCUGCAUGGUGGGGGGUGGAAAGUUUUGGCGGUUGGGGAUGUACUCGCGGAUUAUCGGCUUGUUGGUGGGGUAGUGGCUAACCAAGGCUUUGACGGGUAGCCGGCCUGAGAGGUUGACCGGCCACAUUGGGACUGAGAUACGGCCCAGUCUCCUAUGGGCGACAGCAGUGGGGAAGCUUGCACAAUAGGCGGAAACCAAAUGCAGCAACGCCGCGUGCGGGAUGACGACCUUCGGUUUGAAUACGAGUUUGGACUGUGACGAAGCGUGAGUGGCGGUAAUGGGUAAAGAAGCACCGGCUAAGUACGUG